Chelmon rostratus (copperband butterflyfish) is the source of this 756-nucleotide long non-coding RNA. RefSeq lists it as uncharacterized. The record is from RefSeq and is a predicted model, not a curated record. The transcript is spliced from 2 exons. Lineage: Eukaryota; Metazoa; Chordata; Actinopteri; Chaetodontiformes; Chaetodontidae.
GCUCUCCGUCUGUGUGUGAAUUGAGGGACGAAAAGAGGAGAAACGAAGAAAAAACUUGUGCUGUCGCAGAGCAAAGAGUCCUCUUCGGUGACUAAAUGCAGUGCUGUUUUGUGUUGAUGUAUGAUUGAACAGUUGUUAGAAAUGGAGUGUGAAGUAACCUUACCUGGUAGCACCUGGUAGAAGUGAACUUGAUCGAUUCGGACGAGUGUUUCGCCACUUUCUGGACUAUUCUGGGACGAGUCAUCAGUUCAACUGUGAUUCCCCACCACCGCUGCUGCCACGUGGAGGCCCUUGGUUCAACGGCAAACCACAUCACCGCCAUGCUGCACGGAGGCUCUUGAGUCAACAGGAUCACAGUGUGGAUACCAGCGUGGUAGGACAGGCUCAGUCCUGAGGAGUGACACCUUUGCACUUUAUUUUUUCUGAGAUCUCAGUAUUUUUUUUUUAAAUUCAUUUUUCUCUAUUUUUUUGCAUUUUUUCUAAAAAAAACUGUUUCUCAUCAGAAGACCCUGAAAGACAGUAAACAAACUUAGUAAACAACGAAAAACAGGGAAUAAAAAGGACAAUUUAACACAUUUAAAGGGAAAGGGUUUUUUUUGUCUGUCUGUCUGUCUUUAUUUUCUAAAUAUACCGGUCAGGUAAUUUUCAGUUGAUACUGUGAAUUUAUUUUUCCUUUCAUGUGGAAAAAAGUGUUCAAUGUGUGGAAUGUUUUAAGUUGAAGGAAAAGAAUUUGCAUAUAAAAACGGUUAAAAUACA